This 263-nucleotide ribosomal RNA is filed under the name uncultured bacterium. RNAcentral's name for it is "partial 16S ribosomal RNA". It matches the Rfam family "Bacterial small subunit ribosomal RNA", at positions 524 to 785 of the family's 1533-position model. The record is from RNAcentral.
UACGGGGGGAGCAAGCGUUGUUCGGAUUUACUGGGCGUAAAGGGCGCGUAGGCGGUCGUGACAAGUCACUUGUGAAAUCUCCGGGCUUAACUCGGAACGGUCAAGUGAUACUGUCGGACUAGAGUACAGAAGGGGCAACUGGAAUUCUCGGUGUAGCGGUGAAAUGCGUAGAUAUUGGGAAGAACACCUGAGGCGAAGGCGGGUUGCUGGGCCGACACUGACGCUGAGGCGCGAAAGCCAGGGGAGCGAACGGGGAUUAAGAU